GGUCGGGCUGGCGCGGGUUGAAGUGCUGGUUGAUGGCCGCUCGAUCGGUGACGCGCGUUACGGGCGCGUGUUCGACAUUCGCCCCGCCUG
This 90-nucleotide transfer RNA is filed under the name Stenotrophomonas maltophilia. RNAcentral describes it as "tRNA-Gly". The record is from RNAcentral. Lineage: Bacteria; Pseudomonadati; Pseudomonadota; Gammaproteobacteria; Lysobacterales; Lysobacteraceae.